RNAcentral lists this ribosomal RNA (301 nucleotides) under uncultured bacterium. RNAcentral describes it as "partial 16S ribosomal RNA". It matches the Rfam family "Bacterial small subunit ribosomal RNA", at positions 509 to 807 of the family's 1533-position model. The record is from RNAcentral.
CAGCCGCCGCGGUAAUACGGAGGGUGCAAGCGUUAAUCGGAAUUACUGGACGUAAAGCGUGCGUAGGCGGUUCGUUAAGUCUGUUGUGAAAGCCCCGGGCUCAACCUGGGAAUGGCAAUGGAUACUGGCGAGCUAGAGUGUGUCAGAGGAUGGUGGAAUUCCCGGUGUAGCGGUGAAAUGCGUAGAGAUCGGGAGGAACAUCAGUGGCGAAGGCGGCCAUCUGGGACAACACUGACGCUGAGGCACGAAAGCGUGGGGAGCAAACAGGAUUAGAUACCCCUGUAGUCCCUGUCUCUUAUAC